CGAGUCUUAACUGGGCGAAUGAGUUGCAGGGUAUAGACCCGAAACCCGGUGAUCUAUCCAUGGGCAGGUUGAAGGUUGGGUAACACUAACUGGAGGACCGAACCGACUAAUGUUGAAAAAUUAGCGGAUGACUUGUGGAUGGGGGUGAAAGGCCAAUCAAACCGGGAGAUAGCUGGUUCUCCCCGAAAGCUAUUUAGGUAGCGCCUCGUGAACUCAUCUUCGGGGGUAGAGCACUGUUUCGACUAGGGGGUCAUCCCGACUUACCAACUCGAUGCAAACUGCGAAUACCGAAGAAUGUUAUCACGGGAGACACACGGCGGGUGCUAACGUCCGUCGUGAAGAGGGAAACAACCCAGACCGCCAGCUAAGGUCCCAAAGUCAUGGUUAAGUGGGAAACGAAGUGGGAAGGCUCAGACAGCCAGGAUGUUGGCUUAGAAGCAGCCAUCAUUUAAAGAAAGCGUAAUAGCUCACUGGUCGAGUCGGCCCGCGCGGAAGAUGUAACGGGGCUAAACCAUGCACCGAAGCUGCGGCAGCGACACAAAGUGUUGUUGGGUAGGGGAGCGUUCUGUAAGCCUGCGAAGGUGUACUGUGAGGUAUGCUGGAGGUAUCAGAAGUGCGAAUGCUGACAUAAGUAACGAUAAUGCGGGUGAAAAACCCGCACGCCGGAAGACCAAGGGUUCCUGUCCAACGUUAAUCGGGGCAGGGUGAGUCGACCCCUAAGGCGAGGCUGAAAAGCGUAGUCGAUGGGAAACGGGUUAAUAUUCCCGUACUGGUGGUAACUGCGAUGGGGGAACGGAGAAGGCUAGGUUGUCCGGGCGACGGUCGUCCCGGUUCAAGCAGGUAGGCAGAGUGAUUAGGCAAAUCCGGUCACUUAAUGCUGAGAUGUGAUGACGAACCACCAAGGUGGUGAAGCAAUUGAUGCCCCGCUUCCAGGAAAAGCCUCUAAGCUUCAGGUUACCAACAAUCGUACCCCAAACCGACACAGGUGGUCAGGUAGAGAAUACUCAGGCGCUUGAGAGAACUCGGGUGAAGGAACUAGGCAAAAUGGUGCCGUAACUUCGGGAGAAGGCACG
This 1073-nucleotide ribosomal RNA is filed under the name Proteus mirabilis. Its description in RNAcentral is "partial 23S ribosomal RNA". It matches the Rfam family "Bacterial large subunit ribosomal RNA", at positions 678 to 1750 of the family's 2925-position model. Lineage: Bacteria; Pseudomonadati; Pseudomonadota; Gammaproteobacteria; Enterobacterales; Morganellaceae. The record is from RNAcentral.